RNAcentral lists this ribosomal RNA (1419 nucleotides) under Triticum aestivum (bread wheat). RNAcentral's name for it is "partial small subunit ribosomal RNA". Lineage: Eukaryota; Viridiplantae; Streptophyta; Magnoliopsida; Poales; Poaceae. The record is from RNAcentral.
AUGGCAGUGGUGAGUACCUCUUCGGCUCUCCGCCUCCUGCCUCUCCUCCUCCCCAUUGCCAUCAUAUGCCCAGCCGCUAUUCCGGUUGGAGCUCGUGAGAAGCUCGAUCAGGGUGGGAAGAUGCCCACUUGUGUGACGGUCGGUCCCAUGCCUGCACCCCCGCCCAAGGUAACACCUAUGACUCCAAGUGUUGUGCCUACACCAACAGCCAAGGUAACACCUACGGGCUACGGCCGCAAGUGCUCUGCCUGCAACUAUUGGCCCAACAACCAUGAAAGUGAAAUACGGCUUCAUUUUUCUUUCCAUCUUGUUCCUCAUCAAUUACGUAAACGAAGAUCACAACGACAUCAUGAGAUGGAGGAGGAAGAGUUUGGGGAGCUACAAGGAACACCAAUGAAGUUCACAUUUCAACAGUUAAAAGCAGCAACUGAGCAAUUCGCAAACAAGCUUGGGGAAGGAGGAUUUGGAUCUGCUUUCAAGGGACAGCUAGCUGAUGAAAGGAUUGCAGUAAAACGUUUAGAUCGAGCGGGUCAGGGCAAAAGGGAAUUUUCUGCAAAGGUUCAGACAAUUGGCAGCAUUCAUCAUAUUAAUCUGGAGUGCAUGAAAAAGAUUGCCCAUUUGGAUGUCAAACCACAAAACAUCCUCUUAGAUAAUGACUUCAAUGCUAAACUUUCUGACUUUGGACUAUGCAAGCUCAUUGACAGGGAUAUGAGUCAAGUGUUUACCAGAAUGAGAGGCACACCUGGAUAUUUAGCUCCUGAAUGGUUGACAUCGCAGAUCACGGAAAAGGCCGAUGUCUAUAGCUUUGGUGUUGUGGUCAUGGAAGUCAUCAGUGGAAGAAAGAACCUCGACAAUUCUCGAUCCGAAGAGAGCAUCCAUCUCAUCAUGCAAUUGCAGGAAAAAGCACAUAAGCAGGAUGUAAUUGAAAUGAUGAAGCUCGCAAUGUGGUGUUUGCAGAUUGAUUGCAGAAGAAGGCCUAAAAUGUCUGAGGUAGUCAAGGUCUUGGAAGGCGCCAUGAAUGCAGAGAGCAACAUUGAUCAUAACUUUGUUGCAACAAAUCAAGUGUAUUUCGGCGCUGAUGGAAAUGUGGUCUCCUUGGUUCCACCUCUAGCUUUACAUGUAUCAGGUCCCAGUCUGUUUUCAGAUCAAUUAAUGCAGAUGGAAGUCAAUCAUGGUAUGCUGCUCAUCGAUCUCUACUACUAUGACCAUGAGAAUCCCCCUAUUUACCAGGCUAUAUGGCAUCAAUUUCAUGAGAAUUUGACUAUUAAUAGAACUAGUCGGAAGUUGUUGCAUACCACUCAUGUGACUCAACCGUGCAGUGGAUUAGCUGAAUUCCCUCGGCAAGUUGUUCGUCAAUCUCCAGUGGAUCUCCUCAAUUCCACCUCUGGCCUCACAUAUAUUAGGCCCAAGGUGAAAUGA